UACGUAGGCAGCAAGCGUUGUUCGGAAUUACUGGGCGUAAAGAGUGUGUAGGCGGUGUUCUAAGUCUGGUGUGAAAUCUCCGCUUAACUGGGAGGUGCGCCGGAAACUGGAGUGCUUGAGCGCGGGAGAGGAAAGCGGAAUUCCUGGUGUAGCGGUGAAAUGCGUAGAUAUCAGGAGGAACACCAAUUGCGAAGGCAGCUCGCUGGGACGUUACUGACGCUGAGACGCGAAAGCGUGGGGAGCAAACAGG
This 250-nucleotide ribosomal RNA is filed under the name uncultured bacterium. Its description in RNAcentral is "partial 16S ribosomal RNA". It matches the Rfam family "Bacterial small subunit ribosomal RNA", at positions 524 to 776 of the family's 1533-position model. The record is from RNAcentral.